CAUGCAAGUCGAGCGAGAAAGGGCUUCGGCCCCAGUAAAGCGGCGCACGGGUGAGUAACACGUAGGUAAUCUGCCUCUGGGUGGUGGAUAACCUUCCGAAAGGAGGGCUAAUACAGCAUAAGACCACGCGUUCGAAAGGGCGUGAGGUCAAAGCCGGCCUCUUCAAGAAAGCUGGCGCCUGGAGAUGAGCCUGCGGCCCAUCAGCUAGUUGGUAGGGUAAUGGCCUACCAAGGCGAAGACGGGUAGCUGGUCUGAGAGGAUGAUCAGCCACACUGGAACUGAGACACGGUCCAGACUCCUACGGGAGGCAGCAGUGGGGAAUCUUGCGCAAUGGGCGAAAGCCUGACGCAGCGACGCCGCGUGAGUGAUGAAGGCCUUCGGGUUGUAAAGCUCUGUGGAGGGGGACGAAUAAGGGUCGUCGAAUAGACGGUCCGAUGACGGUACCCCUUUAGCAAGCACCGGCUAACUCUGUGCCAGCAGCCGCGGUAAUACGAAGGGGGCUAGCGUUGUUCGGAAUUACUGGGCGUAAAGCGCACGUAGGCGGAUUGUUAAGUGAGGGGUGAAAUCCCAGGGCUCAACCCUGGAACUGCCUCUCAUACUGGCAAUCUCGAGUUCGAGAGANGUGAGUGGAAUUCCGAGUGUAGAGGUGAAAUUCGUAGAUAUUCNGAGGAACACCAGUGGCGANGCGGCUCACUGGCUCGAUACUGACGCUGA
This 714-nucleotide ribosomal RNA is filed under the name uncultured bacterium. Its description in RNAcentral is "bacterial SSU rRNA". It matches the Rfam family "Bacterial small subunit ribosomal RNA", at positions 54 to 749 of the family's 1533-position model. The record is from RNAcentral.